UACGUAGGUGGCAAGCGUUAUCCGGAAUUAUUGGGCGUAAAGAGCGCGCAGGUGGUUGAUUAAGUCUGAUGUGAAAGCCCACGGCUUAACCGUGGAGGGUCAUUGGAAACUGGUCGACUUGAGUGCAGAAGAGGGAAGUGGAAUUCCGUGUGUAGCGGUGAAAUGCGUAGAGAUAUGGAGGAACACCAGUGGCGAAGGCGGCUUCCUGGUCUGUAACUGACACUGAGGCGCGAAAGCGUGGGGAGCAAACAGGAUUAGAUACA
RNAcentral lists this ribosomal RNA (263 nucleotides) under uncultured prokaryote. RNAcentral's name for it is "partial 16S ribosomal RNA". It matches the Rfam family "Bacterial small subunit ribosomal RNA", at positions 524 to 786 of the family's 1533-position model. The record is from RNAcentral.